CUUAACACACAAUCCUCACUGUAUACUCACAAUAACACUCAAAAACUGAAAUGUUCAUAUGAUAAGCGUAACUAAGCAUGUUAUGAUUGAUUUACGAGAAACAAAUGAUAAACAAUAACAAACGCAUCGGAUCUUGUCGCCGAAAUCUUCGCUCCUAUUGGUCAAUCAGCACGUGUCCACAGCACGCGUCACUCGCCGGCCCCACCCAAUUUUUUUCUUGUCGCGACUUGCGUUGCAUCUGCAUGAACAUCCGCAUUGAUAAUUGCGGAUGCGGAUGCGAAGGUCGCUAUCGAUGCGGAAGCUUCGCAAUUGCGGAUGCGGAUGCGAAUAUCCGCAACAUCACUAAUUCAGAUUAAGAUGAAGAAAUUUUUGCGUUCCUUUAUCGUGUGAAACUACAAACAGGAAAAAUCUCAAUCGAUCGAUGCUCAACUAGAGAAAGAAGGCUC
Molecule: long non-coding RNA, 446 nt
Filed under: Androctonus crassicauda
Lineage: Eukaryota; Metazoa; Arthropoda; Arachnida; Scorpiones; Buthidae
Source: RNAcentral